GAUGAACGCUGCGGCGUGCCUAAUACAUGCAAGUAGAACGCUGAAGCUUGGUGCUUGCACCGAGCGGAGGAGUUGCGAACGGGUGAGUAACGCGUAGGUAACCCUGCCUCUUAGCGGGGGAUAACUAUUGGAAACGAUAGCUAAUACCGCAUAAAAGUCGACAUUGCAUGAUGUUGACUUGAAAGGUGCAACUGCAUCACUAAGAGAUGGACCUGCGUUGUAUUAGCUAGUUGGUGAGGUAACGGCUCACCAAGGCGACGAUACAUAGCCGACCUGAGAGGGUGAUCGGCCACACUGGGACUGAGACACGGCCCAGACUCCUACGGGAGGCAGCAGUAGGGAAUCUUCGGCAAUGGACGGAAGUCUGACCGAGCAACGCCGCGUGAGUGAAGAAGGUUUUCGGAUCGUAAAGCUCUGUUGUAAGAGAAGAACGAGUGUGAGAGUGGAAAGUUCACACUGUGACGGUAACUUACCAAAAG
This 479-nucleotide ribosomal RNA is filed under the name Streptococcus parasanguinis. RNAcentral's name for it is "bacterial SSU rRNA". It matches the Rfam family "Bacterial small subunit ribosomal RNA", at positions 28 to 489 of the family's 1533-position model. Lineage: Bacteria; Bacillati; Bacillota; Bacilli; Lactobacillales; Streptococcaceae. The record is from RNAcentral.